This is a non-coding RNA of Acidaminococcus fermentans DSM 20731, 155 nucleotides long. The record is from Rfam. Lineage: Bacteria; Bacillati; Bacillota; Negativicutes; Acidaminococcales; Acidaminococcaceae.
GCAAAUCAUCGAGCGCAGGUGCCGGGCUUUGGCCUGGCCGACGAGGUGGAGGUUCAUCGAACAGUCAGCGGAUGCCUCCCGGUAAGCUGCAGACCGUAAGCUGUCCUACAAAUCCCUCUGGCAACAGAGGAACACAGAAGGGGCGGCGGCAGACG